This 1889-nucleotide long non-coding RNA is filed under the name Solanum tuberosum (potato). RNAcentral's name for it is "long non-coding RNA (STUB_LNC010991)". The record is from RNAcentral. Lineage: Eukaryota; Viridiplantae; Streptophyta; Magnoliopsida; Solanales; Solanaceae.
UAAUAUAGGCAUUGAUCCUACUAUGACCUAAAUACUUGUUGCUAAUUUCACAGCUCAGACUCAUAACCUGUAAAUUGAGAUAAUUUUUUCCGUUCCUCCAAAACUCCGCUUCUUAUGGUUGAUAAAAACUCUUAGAGGCAAAAUCCAACCUAAUAAUGACAUUGACAUGCACUAAAUUCAUGAUUUUGCACACACUCAAAGUCACAAAAAUCCAUGAAGCAGCAAAUUCCCAUAUAAAAUCUUUCAUUGAUUCAACAGACAAAAAACAUAACUUAGAUGAUUUUUCAUUUUCCCAUGAAAUACUUAAAAUUAUAUUUUGAAUCUUUUUUGAAAAAAACAAACAAACUUGGCAACUCAAACUAAUUAACCUCUUCCCAUGAGAAGUUUUCUCCAACUCCUUGACCUAAACCAAAAUUAGGUUUAAAAAUGGCAUAAGUUAUAUAUACUGACAAUAUAAAUCAUUAAUUAUACUUUGAUUAAUGUAUUUUAACAUGUUACACGCUCUGUUUUAAUCUAUCUUAGCUUGAUUUGAAGUAUAACGAUCAAACUAGUUGUUCGUGAAUUCAGACACAAAAAUCUUUAAUUUUAUACACAUAAACUCCAAAUAAUAACUAGGUAAUCAAUCGAUGCGUGCUUGUAAUAAAAUUUAGUAUAAUUACAUACCUUAUAAUAAACGAUUUGAUUGUGUAAAUAUAUUUUUCGUACCAAAUCUGUGUAAGAUAGAGAAAUUACAACUUCUGAUCUAUCAGAACUUCAGUGGCCACAGAUCUGCAGUCUCAAAAUAAACAAAGAAUCUAAUUUUCACCUGUUAGAAUUUUUUUUAAAAAAAUUAAAAUUGUUACAUAUAUAAAUAGAUAUAUAACUGACAAGAAUAUUUACUAUAAAGUACUGAAAAAUACAGUAAAAUAAAAUAAAGGAAAAUUAAAUCCAUUUAAUCAUCUAUCUCCAGGUACAAAUGAACUGAGCAUCCGUACUAUUUACUUUUGCUUAGAGAGUGACGGGGCGAAGCUAGAGGGACGAAAGGGGUUCAUUUCACCAAAAAAAUCAAAGAGGAUGAUAUGGAAAAGUCAAGAAAAUAUCGUUAUAUCUAUAUAUAAUAGAUGUUGAUUUUUUCAAAAUUCUGCCUCCACAGCUCAUAAUUAGUUUAGAGCGGAGGCAGAAGAUAUUCAUCUGAACCCCUUUAUAUACAAAACCCUAUUGGAUAUUAGAAAUCCUUAAAAAUCCUAACUCUGUCACUGAUAGUUAUUUAUUGCUGAUGCAGCAUCAUCAAGAUUCUCACUUUAAAAUAAAUAGACAUGGUCAUGAUAUAUUUUAUUUUUCAUUUCAAUUAAAGCUACAUAUAUAACCUUGCCUCUUAAUUUUCAUGUAUGAAUCUUGAUGAUGCUACAUCUGCAAACAACAACUGUUGUUAAUUGUUCGAUAGAUCGAUAAGCCUGAUUCAAAUUCAGAAACCCUAUUUUCUCUAUACCGUUUCAAUUUUAUUGGAUGUCUACAAAAUGAACCACAAACCCUAAAUAAAUGUUUCACAUAGGAUAUAUAUUUAUAGGGUACAAAAUCCAAGUACAUAUAUACAUAUUCUUAGCUACAAAAGUAAAGAUCUAAAUUAAGAAGAAUCUACACUAUUUAAGACUUCAAAACAAAAAAUAAAAUUUAAAAACUUAUAUGUAGAUUGGAAUUGUUCAAAAAUUCCAUCAUAUAUAACUUGACCACAAUCUUUCUAUUGAAGAAGCAAGCUAAAUCAAUACACUAAGAAAUUGAUUAAAUAAAAACAUAAAAUAAAAAUAAAAACAAAAACUCAUAGAAGCAUAUAUCUUCAAGAUCACUAACAAAUAAAUAUAGAAAAAUAUAUCUAAAAAGAUAAUAAUUAUCAAAAUCACUAGCAAAUAAAG